GAUGAACGCUGGCGGCGUGCCUAAUACAUGCAAGUCGAGCGAACAGACGAGGAGCUUGCUCCUCUGACGUUAGCGGCGGACGGGUGAGUAACACGUGGAUAACCUACCUAUAAGACUGGGAUAACUUCGGGAAACCGGAGCUAAUACCGGAUAAUAUAUUAAACCGCAUUGUUCAAUAGUGAAAGACGGUUUUGCUGUCACUUAUAGCUAGAUCCGCGCCGCAUUAGCUAGUUGGUAAGGUAACGGCUUACCAAGGCAACGAUGCGUAGCCGACCUGGGAGGGGAAUCGGCCACACUGGAGCUGGGACACGGUCAGGACUCCUAGGGGAGGCGGCAGUAGGGAAUCUUCCGCAAUGGGCGAAGGCCUGACGGAGCAACGCCGCGUGAGUGAUGAAGGUCUUCGGAUCUUAAAACUCUGUUAAUAGGGAAGAACAAAUGUGUAAGUAACUAUGCACGUCUUGACGGUACCUAAUCAGAAAGCCACGGCUAACUACGUG
This 497-nucleotide ribosomal RNA is filed under the name uncultured bacterium. RNAcentral describes it as "partial 16S ribosomal RNA". It matches the Rfam family "Bacterial small subunit ribosomal RNA", at positions 28 to 507 of the family's 1533-position model. The record is from RNAcentral.